This 700-nucleotide ribosomal RNA is filed under the name Bacillus sp. MZ_7. Its description in RNAcentral is "bacterial SSU rRNA". It matches the Rfam family "Bacterial small subunit ribosomal RNA", at positions 100 to 786 of the family's 1533-position model. The record is from RNAcentral. Lineage: Bacteria; Bacillati; Bacillota; Bacilli; Caryophanales; Bacillaceae.
GACGGGUGAGUAACACGUGGGUAACCUGCCCAUAAGACUGGGAUAACUCCGGGAAACCGGGGCUAAUACCGGAUAACAUUUUGAACCGCAUGGUUCGAAAUUGAAAGGCGGCUUCGGCUGUCACUUAUGGAUGGACCCGCGUCGCAUUAGCUAGUUGGUGAGGUAACGGCUCACCAAGGCAACGAUGCGUAGCCGACCUGAGAGGGUGAUCGGCCACACUGGGACUGAGACACGGCCCAGACUCCUACGGGAGGCAGCAGUAGGGAAUCUUCCGCAAUGGACGAAAGUCUGACGGAGCAACGCCGCGUGAGUGAUGAAGGCUUUCGGGUCGUAAAACUCUGUUGUUAGGGAAGAACAAGUGCUAGUUGAAUAAGCUGGCACCUUGACGGUACCUAACCAGAAAGCCACGGCUAACUACGUGCCAGCAGCCGCGGUAAUACGUAGGUGGCAAGCGUUAUCCGGAAUUAUUGGGCGUAAAGCGCGCGCAGGUGGUUUCUUAAGUCUGAUGUGAAAGCCCACGGCUCAACCGUGGAGGGUCAUUGGAAACUGGGAGACUUGAGUGCAGAAGAGGAAAGUGGAAUUCCAUGUGUAGCGGUGAAAUGCGUAGAGAUAUGGAGGAACACCAGUGGCGAAGGCGACUUUCUGGUCUGUAACUGACACUGAGGCGCGAAAGCGUGGGGAGCAAACAGGAUUAGAUACC